RNAcentral lists this ribosomal RNA (440 nucleotides) under uncultured bacterium. RNAcentral describes it as "partial 16S ribosomal RNA". It matches the Rfam family "Bacterial small subunit ribosomal RNA", at positions 338 to 795 of the family's 1533-position model. The record is from RNAcentral.
CCUACGGGUGGCAGCAGUAGGGAAUAUUGCACAAUGGGGGGAACCCUGAUGCAGCAACGCCGCGUGGGGGAGGAAGUUCUUCGGAAUGUAAAGUCCUAUCAUCAGAGAAGAAAAUGACGGUACCUAACGAAUAAGCCCCGGCUAACUCCGUGCCAGCAGCCGCGGUAAUACGGAGGGGGCAAGCGUUACUCGGAUUUACUGGGUGUAAAGGGAGCGUAGCCGGGGUGGCAAGUCUGGUGUGAAAGGCGGGGGCUCAACCACGGAACUGCAUUGGAAACUGUCAUUCUGGAGUUCGGGAGGGGUAAGUGGAAUUCUUAGUGUAGCGGUGAAAUCCGUAGAUAUCAGGAGGAACACCCGUUGCGAAGGCGACCUGCUAGACCGUAACUGACGUUGAGGCGCGAAAGCGUGGGGAGCAAACAGGAUUAGAUACCCGGGUAGUC